AUGAGGUGGUGCAGCAGCCCGCUCGGACCUUGAUUUUAGAUUUUGAUAGAAACACGAUAAGGACACCUGCCGUAACCGCCCUUUCACGGCGGUAACAGGGGUUCGAAUCCCCUUGGGGAGGCCA
Molecule: transfer RNA, 124 nt
Filed under: Skermanella cutis
Lineage: Bacteria; Pseudomonadati; Pseudomonadota; Alphaproteobacteria; Rhodospirillales; Azospirillaceae
Description: Skermanella sp. TT6 tRNA-OTHER
Source: RNAcentral